GAUGAACGCUGGCGGCGUGCCUAAUACAUGCAAGUCGAGCGAACAGACGAGGAGCUUGCUCCUCUGACGUUAGCGGCGGACGGGUGAGUAACACGUGGAUAACCUACCUAUAAGACUGGGAUAACUUCGGGAAACCGGAGCUAAUACCGGAUAAUAUAUUGAACCGCAUGGUUCAAUAGUGAAAGACGGUUUUGCUGUCUCUUAUAGAUGGAUCCGCGCCGCAUUAGCUGGUUGGUAAGGUAACGGGUUACCAAGGCAACGAUGCGUAGCAGACCUGAGAGGGGGGUCGGCCACACUGGAACUGGAACACGGUCCAGACUCCUAAGGGAGGCAGCAGAAGGGAAUCUUCCGCAAUAGGCGGAAGCCUGACGGAGCAACGCCACGUGAGUGAUGAAGGUCUUCGGAGCGUAAAACUCUGUUAUGAGGGAAGAACAAAUGUGUAAGUAACUAUGCACGUCUUGACGGUAACUAAUCAGAAAGCCACGGCUAACUACGUG
This 497-nucleotide ribosomal RNA is filed under the name uncultured bacterium. RNAcentral describes it as "partial 16S ribosomal RNA". It matches the Rfam family "Bacterial small subunit ribosomal RNA", at positions 28 to 507 of the family's 1533-position model. The record is from RNAcentral.